This 367-nucleotide ribosomal RNA is filed under the name uncultured bacterium. Its description in RNAcentral is "partial 16S ribosomal RNA". It matches the Rfam family "Bacterial small subunit ribosomal RNA", at positions 338 to 702 of the family's 1533-position model. The record is from RNAcentral.
CCUACGGGGGGCAGCAGUGAGGAAUAGUGGUCAAUGGACGCAAGUCUGAACCAGCCAUGCCGCGUGCAGGAAGACGGCUCUAUGAGUUGUAAACUGCUUUUGUACGAGGGUAAACGCAGAUACGCGUAUCUGUCUGAAAGUAUCGUACGAAUAAGGAUCGGCUAACUCCGUGCCAGCAGCCGCGGUAAGACGGAGGAUUCAAGCGUUAUCCGGAUUUAUGGGGUUGAAAGGGUGCGUAGGCGGUCGGAUAAGUUAGAGGUGAAAUCCCGAGGCUCCACUUCGGAAUUGCCUCUGAUACUGUUCGGCUAGAGCGUAGUUGCGGUAGGCGGACUGUCUGGUGUAGCGGUGCACUGCUUAGAGUUCAUCC